RNAcentral lists this ribosomal RNA (403 nucleotides) under uncultured bacterium. Its description in RNAcentral is "bacterial SSU rRNA". It matches the Rfam family "Bacterial small subunit ribosomal RNA", at positions 28 to 417 of the family's 1533-position model. The record is from RNAcentral.
GAUGAACGCUAGCUACAGGCUUAACACAUGCAAGUCCGAGGGGAAACGACAUCGAAAGCUUGCUUUUGAUGGGCGUCGACCGGCGCACGGGUGAGUAACGCGUAUCCAACCUGCCCACCACUUGGGGAUAACCUUGCGAAAGUAAGACUAAUACCCCGAUGAUAUCUCUAGACGACAUCUGAAAGGGAUUAAAGAUUUAUCGGUGAUGGAUGGGGAUGCGUCUGAUUAGCUUGUUGGCGGGUAACGCCACAAGGCAACGAUCAGUAGGGGGUUCUGAGAGGAAGGUCCCCCACAUUGGAACCUGAGACACGGUCCAAACUCCUACGGGAGGCCAGCAGUGAGGAAUAUUGGGCAAUGGGGGAAACCCUGACCCCAGCAACGCCGCGUUGAAGGAAGAAGGCCU